CUAAACCCAAUGUGAGUUUUUUCUAUUUUGACUUACUCCCCCGCCACGAGCGAACGGGAAUGGAUAAGGAGAAGUUGAUAACCAACUUCUAGGAGAGACAUAAUUAACUGCAUUGAUCUCGGUAGCUACGCCACCCACGGAAUUUAAAGAGCCUAAAGGAGCGUGGGUCUUAACGUUAAUGGCGAGGUUCAAAAGAGGAAAGGCUUGCGGUGGAUACCUAGGCACCCAGAGACGAGGAAGGGCGUAGCAAGCGACGAAAUGCUUCGGGGAGUUGAAAAUAAGCAU
This 285-nucleotide ribosomal RNA is filed under the name Triticum aestivum (bread wheat). Its description in RNAcentral is "partial small subunit ribosomal RNA". The stretch from base 187 to 285 matches the Rfam family "Bacterial large subunit ribosomal RNA", at positions 1 to 99 of the family's 2925-position model. The record is from RNAcentral. Lineage: Eukaryota; Viridiplantae; Streptophyta; Magnoliopsida; Poales; Poaceae.